UGGGGAAUUUUGGACAAUGGGGGCAACCCUGAUCCAGCAAUGCCGCGUGUGUGAAGAAGGCCUUCGGGUUGUAAAGCACUUUUGUCCGGAAAGAAAACGCCGUGGUUAAUACCCGUGGCGGAUGACGGUACCGGAAGAAUAAGCACCGGCUAACUACGUGCCAGCAGCCGCGGUAAUACGUAGGGUGCAAGCGUUAAUCGGAAUUACUGGGCGUAAAGCGUGCGCAGGCGGUCCGCUAAGACAGAUGUGAAAUCCCCGGGCUUAACCUGGGAACUGCAUUUGUGACUGGCGGGCUAGAGUAUGGCAGAGGGGGGUAGAAUUCCACGUGUAGCAGUGAAAUGCGUAGAGAUGUGGAGGAAUACCGAUGGCGAAGGCAGCCCCCUGGGCCAAUACUGACGCUCAUGCACGAAAGCGUGGGGAGCAAACAGGAUUAGAUACCCUGGUAGUCCACGCCCUAAACGAUGUCAACUAGUUGU
This 476-nucleotide ribosomal RNA is filed under the name uncultured bacterium. Its description in RNAcentral is "partial 16S ribosomal RNA". It matches the Rfam family "Bacterial small subunit ribosomal RNA", at positions 355 to 823 of the family's 1533-position model. The record is from RNAcentral.